CAGGAUUGUACAUCUCCUCAGUAGUUAACCAGAAUUAUUUCCUCUUUUUUACAUCAUCAUUAAAUGGCCAAUAAAGUCACACCACAGGGACUAGCUGAUUUUAGUGAAAUAAUAACAUUUAUUUUAUCUAUUGACCUUGUUUUGAUAAAAGCAUUGGACCAGAAUAUUUUCAGAUGAGAAAAGUGCAUUCAAAAUUAAAGAAAAGCGAGACAGAGUAUCAGCAAACAGUGUCAGCAAUCAAAGAAAUAAAUAUAUAUCCAUUAAUAGCACAAACUUUACCUUUGCUGUAUUUAUGAAGAGCUUUUAUUGUUUGAAUUACCCAACGGCAGAUGUAGAUCGCUGCAUGCAGGAUAUGUGUGGCAUUAUUCUUUUUAAUUAGGAGGCUGAUGUUUAUAAGCCCCAAACAGUAACUCUAGAUAAUAGUUCAUUCAUGUCCAGUUAAUCAAAAUCCUGUUGGCAGAUAAUGGCUGCCAGGGGCUAAAGCUGGUUUGGAAAAAUUUAAUUAGCAAAGCCAUGAAUUUCCACUCAAAAAAUUAUUGCUCAAGGGUGAAGAAGGGCUUAACACAACAUUAAGUUUGUGGUUGAUUUGUUUAAAAGUGUAAAAUGUCUUCUUUCAAUUAGAUUCAACUGUAUGUCUAUAUUUUUAAAUAUACACAGCUCUCUCUAUGCUUGUUGUUUUUUCAAUAUUUCAUGGCUGAAAUAUUGAACCUUUUGCACAGCCUAAAACAUCUUGAUUUGGAGUAAUAGAUGACCACAGACAACACAUCACAAAGGGCUAAACAAACAAGUAAGGAUGAAGACAAAGUAAUUAUGACAACAUCCAAGACAACAGCUCAAAUAACUCAAUGGCAACAAUAAAGCAAACAAAGUCAAAUAAAAAAACAGGACAGAAAAUAUACUCCAAGGUAAUUGAAAUCAUAGUUAUUACUUGGUGGCUGGUGAUAAGAAGAUAUUGCAUCAUUAGAACUGGCUGACAAUCUACCAAAGCAGCAAAAUUACAACAUUGUUUAAAUUCAGACACAUUCUGAAAUUGUUAAUAGUGUAAAUUAUUUAGGGAAACAAAAGGAUAAAUGUUAAGUGAAUGUAUGUUCAAUGUUUUUGUUUUUUUUCUUUUGUAGACUUUCACAGUUUAUGGGAAUUUGUUUUGUUUGUUUGUUUUUUUUUUUCAAAUAAACUCAACAGCCUUUGGCAGCUUUGAAACUGGCCUAUUGCAUAUGUUUGAAAUGUACCAUUUUCAAACUUAGAAGUGAAAUGAAGCUGACAAUAUGCCAGUCCUGUGUUGCUUUGUUUUUGUAAAAAUCUUUCUGGACACAAUGUAGUGACACAGUGUUCUACAGAAUUAGGAUUUUGCCCAACACUUUUCAUUUUGUCUACAGCUGAUUAUUGAUCUUGCAUAGGUGCAUUACUUCUGUUUUACUUUACCUGAAUGUUGUUGAUGAUCUCUUUUAAAAUUAAAUAAAUAUUUUGGAUGAGGCAAAAAAGUUUUAAAUACAUUAAUGUGUUUAUUAAUUUAGGGCUAUACUUGACAAAAGUUGUCAAAAACCUAUGCAAACUUCAAACUAUUGAAGAUAGCUAGCUAGAUAGAUAGAUAGAUGUUCUUACUAUGCCUUGUCAAUUAUAACACUAUUUCAUUUAAAAUCCAAAGUCAUCAUUUGAUUAACAAUUUGUUACAUUAUAAAAACAAUACAUUCAUUUAUAAUAUCAUGCUCCUUCCAGGACCAAUAUUGAUAGAGAAAAAUAUUAUACUAGAGCAUCUUUAAAAACAUUAUUCAAACCUGGCAAUCUGGCAACAUUUGAGGACUUUCCACAGUGUGUCUGGCACCAUAUGUUUUAUUUUAGAAUAUGUCUCUGUACAACUAUUAAAAUGCAGACUGUCAUUGUCUUUUUUUAGAAUAAGAAUCAGAAGAAUUAGAAUCAGCAUUAUUGGGCAAGAUUGUGUGCACAUACAAAGCAUUUGACUUUAGUUUCAAGCCCUCACAGGAUACAGACAUUAAGUAUAUAACACUCAUCCCCAUUACAGCGUGGAAGGACAGGUUUGUUUAGUUAGUCAUUUUGUUCAGGCUCCUCCAAACUGCUGCUGGGUUUUUAUCUGAGAAGUUGCCUUUUAGCUUCUCUUAGCUGCCAUUAUUUAACUUGUUUCUUGCUUGCUUACACAGGGAAUGGUCUCCACUGCUGUAAGCCUCUUCUUUGGUCCAACACAGCUUCCUCAAAUGUGAAGUGAACCCUGGUUUAUUGUUGUAUGUGUGAAAGGCACACACAUGCUCACAAAAAAAAGCUCCAAAAACAUCCCAAUCUGUGCAGUCAAAGCAGGGCUGUGACUCUGCCUGUAGGUUGAAAUGAGAUGAAGCAGACAGUGAUCAGAGAGUCCUAAUGCUGUCCAGUGAACUGCACGCGAGCUGUUUUUCAGCCUCUAAUGUGCAGGGUUGUGGUAGGAUGUAAACACUGGCGGAAACAAAUGAGGCAAACUACCUCUGUGAAAAAAAGGGUUUACUAUUUAUAAAAAAAUGACUCCAGAGAACUCCAUACCUGGUCCACUUGAAACAGCUGGAAGCCUGACAUCGGAAGUCGCUGUUUGGGAUGUUUUCAUUGAGACGGCUUUUGUUGAAGCAGAGGGCAGCAGAUACAAGAAUGUCUGAGUUUCUUGUGCUGAGAAAGAGCAACUUUUUCGCCAGGGAGCUGAGUGCGCAGUCCCUGCCGGCAGAGACUGACGAGUGUACUUGUGCAUUUCCCUCAUAUCUGGUAAAUCCCACACAGAGCUGCCGAGCUUCCAACCAGGAUCUCAGAAAAACUAUUUGGAUCGAUGAAAACUGGAAAAAAAACCUGCUCAGAAAGGACUGCCUGGUACUUAGCAGUUAUAGACGCUGGUGAAAGUGACCGUAGCAUAGCAGCAACAUACAGUGCAAAUACAAAUUAAAAAAACGAGUACAACCAAGCAUAGAACCAAGGCAAGCCAUCCGCAGCGCCAUCUUGAAAAAAAAAAAAAAAUAAUUAUUUGAGAAAUAGGAAGCGUUUAAAACUGCAGUCACAUCUAAACAAAGGGAGUAGGUACAAUAAAAUGAUCAUAUAGAACCAUUUGGUGCUGUUUACACUGUUUCCCUUUUUUCCUAACUGUUUUUAUAACAAGAUGGAAAAUAAUUAUUGUGAACACUCUUUCACUUGGUUGUACAAGAGAAAAAAAUACGUUUUGAAUUCAGAUCCAUGUUUACUCCAAGCUCCCUUUUGGAUAGACAAAUGGAACCAUAGCUCAAGCAAGGCCUAAUGCACCAUAGAGAGGGCAUUAGAAACACAUAUCCUGUUUUAUUAAUGCAGUCAAUACAGUCCAUUAGGCCAUAGAUUUAAAAGCCACAGAGCUCUUCCACCUCCAUUAAUACUUUCCUUUGACCUAUGGCAUUGUUUUUAAAUAGAGCAAGCUGCUUUCUGUAUCUAACACGUGGGACUGUUAAAAUAUUUGCUUUUAAUAUUUUGUCACGGAAUAUUUUAGAAGUCACAGCUCAUGAUGUCUAGGUGCAUGGUUGGACCACCUAAGGAUCUGAAUGACAACUUCCAGGCAAGAAGCAGAUGAAUAAGAAAAUUAAGGAUUUCUAUUUAAAUAGCUAAAAAAAGUGCUACAGCAGAAGAAACAUAGAAACAAAACACAGAUUAGUUUGUGUCAGCACAAAACUUAAUAGAGAGGCAAUCCAAGUCAACACAAGACCUUGACAAAGAGCACCUGAAAAGGUGGGACUGAACACACUAAGGGCCUUAUCUUCAGUUUGCAGCUUAUCUACGGUUUUGCAUGUAUAAAAGCAUGUGCAAACUGAACUUCAUGCAAAAAGCUGAUCUAUAAACCAGGUGCAAAUCAAAUUAUGUUUGUAAAGUCAGCGGAACAGCAGGCCGAAACAUUUUAGCGUGUUUGCCUUCAUGAAUAUGCAAAACAUAUGCUGCUCAUCAGAAUACGCAAAUGUAUGGCAAGAUUAUAUGUAAAUGUAAUUCCUUACCACCCACAAUGAGAUUUAUCAAUCCUGACAAGAAUUACGGGUGCAGUUUCUGCUUCUAUUUUAGCAUGUUUGAAAGGCAGGUGCAAACUGGCACACAAAAAUGUCUGCAGUCAUUGUGGGGAGAAGGAGGCAUAGGUGUAAAGACAUGAUAGAGAGAUCCUUCUGUCUCCUAUCUUGUCAACAUAUUUUCACUAUCAGAAAUAAAAACAGUAGGGAUAUCAUCAGUCCGGUAAUGCUAUUUUGGAGUUGCAGCAUUACAAUUCCAGCACACCAUCACUUUAUGGGAUUACACCGUUAUGUGUGAAUGGCACAGAUUAUGGUUGUAUGCUGCAUGUUUGCAGUGGGACUGCAGACAAUCUUUAUGCAAUCCACACAAAAAACAUGCGUCUGAACCUAAAUAUCAUGGCAUGUUUCUAAAAUAAAUCUGAACAUCAACUGCCACUAGAGACCUGAAAAAGGGACAUUGAAGGAAAAAUGAAUAAAACAAAAACUGUCCUGGGCACUCCUGAAAGUGUGCACUCCUAUCUUGUUUCCAAGAGAGAUGUUUAUUCAUUUUUCCCUCCUCAACAGUCCUUCACAGACUCCAUACGAAGCGUAUUUAUGUUGAAUUCAAUUAAUGUGUUAUUAUCGGCCUACAUUGGUUUGGAUUGGGUCAAGCAAGUCAUUCCAACAAUCUGCUUGUCACAAAAUGAAAGUUGAUGGCUUUCACAGGCUGGGUGUGUGUAUGAGCACAUGUGAAAGUCAUCGUUUCCAGGUUUUCAAAAAGUUUCUUAUAUUGUUAUGUACCAGACAUAAGACAUUUAAAAAAAUUAUUUUUAAAAAUACAGAUGAUGGGAAUGAUAAUCAGGAAACCUCUACUAGAACACACCAGAAAUUCUGGAAAGGGAUGGAACAGGUUAGUGGCUAUUAAAGAGUCAGAAAAUCAGAUAAGGCUCAGAAAGAAAGUCAUCAACCUUCGCAGGAUCAGAAUGGGAACGUUGAUCCAUAUGAUAGGGUCCUUCAGACUGGUGUCCAUUUCCAAACAGCCACUCUUAGAUGUGCACACACUGAAACUCCUCUUGAUUCUCCUGAGAGGGAGCGGAGAGUGACAAGUGAGGAUGAUGAUGUCACAACAGGUAACUUUGAAGCAGAGCUUGGCUGUAUCUUUAAUCGUCUCACUGCUGGCUGGCAAUCCGUCAGAACUCAAUCCAAAAUCAAGCAGGCAAAAUGAGAGACAGGAAGGGGUCAUACAGAAAUAGGCAGAGAUCAGCUUAUUUGUCCAAGGGCUAGGCAAAACUCUGAGGGCGGGGCACAGAAACAAGGUUGUUGUCCAGAGAUCAGAAGCUUGGUAGAAGUCAGACAAGGCAAGUCAGUCAUCCACAACACACCCUCUUGGUGCAUCCACUCCUUAUUUGGAAUCUUUAAAGAUCAGGCCCUUAGAUAUCUGAAAACUAACAAGGGGCAAGCUGUGGCAAUUAGCGGGUGAAAUCAUGGAGCAGAGAGCAAAACCAAACAAGACGAGAGGCAAAUACAAAGGUUUUAAAGAAGCAUAUGCAAAAAACAAAACAACAAGAAAAAAUUAGCAAAGCAAAAAAAAAACAAAAACAGACACCACAAAAAAAUAGGUUUUCCGCUGUGCUGGGUACAUUUCUUCUAUUGAUUUGACUUAUGGCUCUUCAAAGGGAACCGAUAAUGUACACAUUUGAAAGAACAAUCCAUUUUAUCCCUAAUAUAGUGUUAAAUAUAAUCAUUUAGAAGCAAGGAGCACUCCUCCUCUCACCUGCUGCAUGCAGCGUCGCAGGCAGGUCACACACAGUGUAACACAGGUGUCUGCCGCCAUGACACAUGAUAAAACAGUGACCAAUAAGCAUGUGCUCUGUGUGCUCAUACCAACCCCUCCUUUCUCUUUCUGUAUUCAGUUGCCUAAGGAAUAAAUGUGAUAUAAUUUAAAAUGAAAUGAUGUUGAAAAAGUAGAAAAUGCAGUCCGUGCAGAGGAUUAGAAGCAUGUAAAGUAGUAAAAAACGAAGAAUGGCUCUCAGUAGCUGAGACACAAGUCCCACCAUUCAAGGUAAAGAGCUGCUCAAAACAAUCAAUCAUUCAUUAAUGCCACAUCACUAGUCUACUGACCCAUGAUCCUGUUAUGUGUUAUCAUUUUGAGAAAUUAAUUUUGUUAAGACAUCAGGGUUAUUGGUACAGUGUUAAUGUUUUUGAAGAAAUUUGUUUUUUUAUGUAUUUAAAGAGCGAGACUUAGGCAAACUUAACUCUUCGAGAUUUGUAAUGUCCAGAGGUUUGGUGAUGAGGGGACAGGAUCAUGAUUAUGAUGACAGAUAAUACCUCACUCUCUACAACUCAAACCAGCGUAAAUGUCUUUUGAAUUUUGCAUAAAAGAAACCAUUCCUUUACAGGAUUUAACUGAACUGAGGAAUGAAUAUAACAUUUCAUUCUGUCUUAUCUUUGAGGAUUAGUAUAGCAAAAUGAGAGAUAGAGAGCAUAUGAAUAGACCACUAGUUACAUGUCUUGAAGUUCAACUGUCUAGUGCCAUAGUUAAAGAAAGAACCUUAACACAUUUUACAACUGUUCUGUAAUAGCAUGAUGAGUUAUUGAUUUUACAAUUAAGCUUUUAUUAUUAGGUAAUACAAUGUAUUAACUGCAUAAACAAUGGAAAGCUGCACUGAAUAAGUUCCAUUAAUUUACUUUUAAGGAUCUUUCCACAAUGUAGAAACGGAGCAAAAACAGGCAAUAAUAAAACAUAAAAUAUAAGUAGACAAAACAGUUCUGUAAUUGUGUAGUAAUUGUGUUGCCAUGAUAUAAAACAUUCCUAAAUUAACGAUCUUAAACUAGUAAAAUGGUGACAUGUGGUAACAACCUAAAAAUCAUAGGGUAAUAUAUAAUAAUGUAUUCAAAAAUAUGCAUUGCAAUUUGCUUUUCCUAUAUGUUGCUUGAAAAAGCUGCAAUUCGUUCCUUAUAUUCACAAAGCUAUCCAUUUCAGAGUAAUGUUGUUACAAUUGGAUUUAUUGAUUUAUCUGGAAACACUUGAGGCAGUUUUCAUCAAGAAAAACAUGAAACAGGUGACUGUGUCAAGUUACAGUUUUGUUUCAUCCCAGUACUACUGACCCAACAUUUAGAGGCAAAAUGAUUACCAGAAAGUAUGUCUAAGUGUCUGUGUCCAUGUAACAUGCAAGA
Molecule: long non-coding RNA, 7139 nt
Organism: Girardinichthys multiradiatus
Lineage: Eukaryota; Metazoa; Chordata; Actinopteri; Cyprinodontiformes; Goodeidae
Exons: 3
Source: RefSeq, a predicted model, not a curated record